This 110-nucleotide microRNA precursor is filed under the name Sorghum bicolor (sorghum). RNAcentral describes it as "MIR5565 microRNA precursor family". It matches the Rfam family "MIR5565 microRNA precursor family". The record is from Rfam by way of RNAcentral. Lineage: Eukaryota; Viridiplantae; Streptophyta; Magnoliopsida; Poales; Poaceae.
GUCCAUGUAUCCACCUCGAUCUAUGUGUAUUGGAGUGAGUUGAGAUAAAAUUUAAAACUAAAUUUCAUCUCAACCCACUCCAACGCACAUGGAUUGAGGUGGAUACAUAC